Molecule: transfer RNA, 65 nt
Filed under: Scolytinae sp. BMNH 1040075
Lineage: Eukaryota; Metazoa; Arthropoda; Insecta; Coleoptera; Curculionidae
Description: tRNA-Thr
Rfam family: tRNA
About the family: Transfer RNA (tRNA) molecules are approximately 80 nucleotides in length. Their secondary structure includes four short double-helical elements and three loops (D, anti-codon, and T loops).
Source: RNAcentral
GUUUUUAUAAUUUAAUUUAAAAUAUUGGUCUUGUAAACCAAAAAUAAGAUUUUCCUUUAAAAACA